GAGGUGUGUGUGUUACAGAGGUGUGUGUGUUACAGAGGUGUGUGUAUUUGAGCUGAGGUGUGUGUGUUACAGAGGUGUGUGUGUUACAGAGGUGUGUGUAUUUGAGCUGAGGUGUGUGUGUUACAGAGGUGUGUGUGUUACAGAGGUGUGUGUAUUUGAGCUGAAGUGUGUGUGUUACAGAGGUGUGUGUGUUACAGAGGUGUGUGUGUUACAGAGGUGUGUGUAUUUGAGCUGAGGUGUGUGUGUUACAGAGGUGUGUGUGUUACAGAGGUGUGUGUGUUACAGAGGUGUGUG
This is a long non-coding RNA of Salvelinus fontinalis (brook trout), 294 nucleotides long. RefSeq lists it as uncharacterized. The transcript has 4 exons. The record is from RefSeq and is a predicted model, not a curated record. NCBI's taxonomy places the organism in Eukaryota, Metazoa, Chordata, Actinopteri, Salmoniformes, Salmonidae.